Molecule: transfer RNA, 63 nt
Filed under: Megalobenedenia derzhavini
Lineage: Eukaryota; Metazoa; Platyhelminthes; Monogenea; Capsalidea; Capsalidae
Description: tRNA-Trp
Source: RNAcentral
AAUCAAUUAAGUUAAGUUAGACUAGAUGUUUUCAAAACAUCCAGUGGUAUACACCAUUGGUUG